GCCGGGUGUGGUGGUGCACACCUGUAAUCCCAGCUACUCAGGAGGCUGAGGCAGGGGAAUUGCUUGAACCCAGGAGAUGGAGGUUGCAGUGAGCUGAGAUCGCACCACUACACUCCAGCCUGGGUGACACAGCGAGACUCUGUCUCAA
This 148-nucleotide signal recognition particle RNA is filed under the name Gorilla gorilla gorilla (western lowland gorilla). Its description in RNAcentral is "Metazoan signal recognition particle RNA". It matches the Rfam family "Metazoan signal recognition particle RNA". From Rfam's summary of the family: The signal recognition particle (SRP) is a universally conserved ribonucleoprotein. It is involved in the co-translational targeting of proteins to membranes. Lineage: Eukaryota; Metazoa; Chordata; Mammalia; Primates; Hominidae. The record is from Rfam by way of RNAcentral.